RNAcentral lists this long non-coding RNA (371 nucleotides) under Homo sapiens (human). RNAcentral's name for it is "non-protein coding lnc-LRRN2-1:1". The record is from RNAcentral. Lineage: Eukaryota; Metazoa; Chordata; Mammalia; Primates; Hominidae.
AGCAGCAGCCUCCCUCCCCUCUCUUGUGGAGCCAAAUCCUCCUCAGCAUGGCAUCUGUAGGCUUUGUUAAUCUAGGAGUCUGACCACCCACGUCCUCAGCUGGUCCUGUCCCUCCACAGCCCUCUUCUCCCAGCCCUUCAAUCAUCUCUCCGGACUAUAAGCUUAUUAAGAGCACGGGAGUAGUCAGCACAUCAAGUGUUUGGCACCGGGGUGAGGUGACUGACUACAGCUCUGGGAAGCUCCGCAGAACAAACACCAGAAUGAACGGUGUCUUCAUUCUCCAGUGAGAGGACUUUGCAUCCUGACUUUGUGUACUCUUUCAGGAGCAGACCACCAGAGACAGUCACACAAGGGGAGGGGAGAUGGCAUUG